AUAGGGUUUAGGGUUUAGGGUUUAGAGUUUAGGGUUUAGGUUUAGGGUUUAGGGUUUAGGGUUUAGAAUUUAGGGUUUAGGGUUUAGAGUUUAGGGAUUAGGGUUUAGGGUUUAGAGUUUAGGAUUUAGGGUUUAGAGUUUAGGGUUUAGGGUUUAGAAUUGAGAAAUGAGGUUUUAGAGAUAAGAUAUAAACUUAGAAAUGUGCUAUUUUGGUCAUUUUAGUUUUUGAGUGCUAUUUUUGUGAUAUAAACUUAGAAAUGUGCUAUUUUGGAUAUUUGCCCUAAAUUAUACUAUGAAGUCGUUUAUGAUAUAUAUAUAUAUAUAUAUAUAUUACCAGUCCAAUAUAUAUAUAUAUGAACUGAAAAUAUAUAGACAUCAAUAAUUUAACCAAAUUUUAAUAUAUUGUUAUGAAAAAUACUUUAAUGGUGAUGAGAAAUUCUAAUAUUGACUAGUAUAGAAGUCGUGUUUUGGACUAAUCAAUAUAAUUAUAGUAGACAUUAUAGAACUAUAUGUUUUGUCUUGAGAGAAAUGGGUAACGUGUUACAUAUGUUUUAUUAUCUUUAGUAUAUUAGGCAUAAUAGGUGUCGACAUAUUUAUGUGUAUUGUUGGUCUCUUUUCCAAUCUCCAAAUCAACCUUAAUGAGAUAAUGGUUUUUAUACAAAACUAUAAUAUCACAAUACUAAAAGGAACAUAUAAACCUCCCACAUUGCUCUUCAGAUUAAUUAUAAUCAACCAAUCAGAAUUCAUUAUUUUUGCCAUGUCACACUCAAAUUGGGCUGAUUUUGUUGCUGAUCCGUAAGCCACAGCAUUGUUGGGCUAUAUUAGUUAUUGAUGCACCUGGUUUGUUAUUAAUUAGUAUAUAUGAUAUUUAGACCCAGUAGCCCAAUGCACCCGAAUCCUUAAAACGCAGAUCUUUAAUCAUUUCGUCGACAUCCUCUCUUCAUCGUUUCAUCUUUUUUUCUUUUUGAAAGAUUCAUCGUUUCAUCUUUCUCAACGGUUCGUCGAUCAAUCGACACACUACUCCAUAAUUGAUCAAUGAAUCCUCCAGAAAUCCCAUUUAUGUCUUCCUUUCACCUUCCUUCCUCUCAAUUUCUAUAACAUUCCUCCCAAUAGAUAGUAAUCCACCAGAAAGUCUUCCGUAGCCACUGGCAAUGCCGAAUUUCUAGAUCGAACGAACACACAUGCCUUUCAUAUGUUCAUGUCUGCCUUUCUUCAGGUUCCAACUCCCUUUUUCACAAUAUAUAAACAUAUCCUCUGAUUCUAUGCUCCACCAUCAUACAC
RNAcentral lists this long non-coding RNA (1281 nucleotides) under Brassica napus (rape). RNAcentral's name for it is "long non-coding RNA (BNAP_LNC010958)". Lineage: Eukaryota; Viridiplantae; Streptophyta; Magnoliopsida; Brassicales; Brassicaceae. The record is from RNAcentral.